Long non-coding RNA from Hemiscyllium ocellatum (epaulette shark), 605 nucleotides. RefSeq lists it as uncharacterized. NCBI's taxonomy places the organism in Eukaryota, Metazoa, Chordata, Chondrichthyes, Orectolobiformes, Hemiscylliidae. The transcript is spliced from 3 exons. The record is from RefSeq and is a predicted model, not a curated record.
UGCUGCGUUUACCCAGAGGGCAGUUAAGAGUCAACUGCGUUGCUAUAUGUCUGGAGUCCCAUGCAGACCAGACCAGAUCCCAGUGAUCAGUGCCAAAGCCCCAUUGCCUGUGGAGAGGGUGAUGUUUGAUUUCCCUGUCCAGCUGCAGUUCAUGUGGUGAAGGUGCUCCCACAAUGUGGUUGGGGUGCUCAAUGGUGAAGAUUCACAGCCUGAAAUCUCAAACUCAUGUGCAGAUUGUGAUUAAGUUAACCAGCAUUUGAAGAACCAAAGAUAGAGAAUAACUUGGCCAAAAUCCAGCAACACUCUCCUUCCCAGCAUUGUCUGUCUCUCUGCGCCAAAUGGACUGUGAAUGGUUCAAGACAGCAGCUCACUACCAUCUUCUCAAGGGUAACUAGAGAUGGGGAAUAAAUGCUGGCUGAGCCAGUGAUGCCCAUAUCCUGGAAAUGGUUUCUAUCUCUAGUUGCUGAAACCCAGUUGAUGUUACUGCAGGAUGAUGAGGGAUACUGAGUGCAUCCUCCAGGAGGCAGCACCAUCACAUUACCCCUGCCUACACCCACACAGUAACACAGCAACGUCACUGGAACAAAAGGCAGUGAAACCAAAGG